This 759-nucleotide ribosomal RNA is filed under the name Pseudoalteromonas sp. RNAcentral's name for it is "bacterial SSU rRNA". It matches the Rfam family "Bacterial small subunit ribosomal RNA", at positions 39 to 788 of the family's 1533-position model. The record is from RNAcentral. Lineage: Bacteria; Pseudomonadati; Pseudomonadota; Gammaproteobacteria; Alteromonadales; Pseudoalteromonadaceae.
GUGCAUGCGGAGCUACCAUGCAGUCGAGCGGUAACAGAUAGUAUCUUGCUACUCUGAUGACAGCGGCGGACGGGUGAGUAAUGCUUGGGAAUGUACCUUAUGGUGGGGGACAACAGUUGGAAACGACUGCUAAUACCGCAUAAUGUCUUCGGACCAAAGCGGGGGACCUUCGGGCCUCGCGCCAUAGGAUCAGCCCAAGUGGGAUUAGCUAGUUGGUGAGGUAAUGGCUCACCAAGGCGACGAUCCCUAGCUGGUUUGAGAGGAUGAUCAGCCACGCUGGGACUGAGACACGGCCCAUACUCCUACGGGAGGCAGCAGUGGGGAAUAUUGCACGAUGGGCGCAAGCCUGAUGCAGCCAUGCCGCGUGUGUGAAGAAGGCCUUCGGGUUGUAAAGCACUUUCACUAAAGAAGAAAGGUUGGAUGUUAAUAGCAUUCAGCUGUGACGUUACUUACAGAAGAAUCACCGGCUAACUCCGUGCCAGCAACCGCGGAAAUACCGAGGGUGCGAGCGUUAAUCUGAAUUACUGGGCGUAAAGCGUACGCUAGCGGUUUGUUAAUCAAGAUGUGAAAGCCCCGGGCUCAACCUGGGAACUGCAUUUCGAACUGGCAAACUAGAGUGUGAUAGAGGGUGGUAGAAUUUCAGGUGUAGCGGUGAAAUGCGUAGAGAUCUGAAGGAAUACCGAUGGCGAAGGCAGCCACCUGGGUCAACACUGACACUCAUGUACGAGAGCGUGGGGAGCAUACAUGCUUGAUACCCCC